This 1397-nucleotide long non-coding RNA is filed under the name Vulpes vulpes (red fox). Its description in RNAcentral is "lncRNA (ENSVVUG00000007207.1)". Lineage: Eukaryota; Metazoa; Chordata; Mammalia; Carnivora; Canidae. The record is from RNAcentral.
GGGGGGGGGGCAGCGAGCCGCGGCGCUGGAAGGCGACGGCCCGGACACCGCUCCCUGACGAGCCCCCUUGCUUCCCAAACCAAGCUCGUCUCCGAAAACAUUCGUUUUCCUUCCCCGGGCUCAGACCGCAGGGGAAGGGAAGGUCGCGAGGCGGGCCCGGGGAGGCCUCGGGGGGCUCCCGGCAACUCGGGGGCGCCCCUCCCUACACGCCGCAAGCCCACGUGUGCACAUCGCGAACCCCAUUUUCAUUUUCGGUAAACAGAGGCAGAGGCUGACGCUUCUGGGAUGCCGGCAACUUCUCCAGAGCUUGCUCCGCCCCCUCGAUCCCCGACAGAGAGGAAGGGACGGGGACGAACCACCCCAGAGAGGGCGCCCGGCUCCGGGUGCGCAUCCGCGCAUCUUGCUGCAACCCUCCAGGUCGGACAGAUGUGUCCCGACUUGAGCUUCAGCGGAGACCAGGACCUAAACCCGCGGAGGGAGGGGACGGGUGGAGGGCUCGCCCCUGCCCUUUGUGCUGUUCUUCUGCACCAGUUCAGAGUGAGCAUCUGCAUCAUCACGAUCCUCCCGGACUCAGCGGUGACGGUGACCCCGCUCCAGCUAGGUUCCCAUGGCCACUCAGCAGGCCAUACUGCGGGCUCACCAGCCUUUGCUGGGUCUGAAUCCAAGACGAUCUCCUGGAAUCACUGCCAGAGCCCCGACUCUGAGAAGACCCCUGCCUGGUCCCCCACGCAGUGUCCUUAACUCGGAGGGAGAAUCGGGAUGCUGGCAAAUAAGGCUCUUGGGAGAACAUACCUUCCAGUCCCUUCCAAGCUCUCCCAAGUUUCAACCUAGUGGGUAGUCCUGUUUUAAUUCACAUGUAUUACCACUCCCAUCUUCUGUUGAAUCCACUUUAGUUUCCCUCUAAUAUGAAGAAAACUGUGAUUGUUAAAGUACUUUAAAGACACGUUUCCUUUGUGCAACCAUGAAAACAAGCAAAACCAACAUCCCAAUAGCUAAGAGGCUGCCUGAACCAGCAAAAGGCCUGUGCACAGGCAGCUGUCCCACCCACAGGCCUGGGGGUGUAGAGAAUUUCACCAGCCCCUCUUUACUUUGAAGACAGAGGCAGCAAUUACAAGAGCCAUAAAAUGUAACUUUAAAAGUCAUCACAUUUAGAUAAAUAGGAAACCUUGCUGUCAUCCCCCCUCCCCCGCCCCAGCUGUGCUUUUGAUGGGAGGAAGCUGCCUUUUCCAGCCUGACUUGAAAGGAAAGCUCAGGCUGCUCCCUGCAGCAUCUAUGUCCUGACAUUUCACUAAAAAUAGAUGCUGUUAGGGUCUUUCUUACAUAAUAUACAUGAAAUUUAUAUUUUCAUAUACGUAUGAAAUUUUUGUGUAUAUAAUCACACAAACUGUAAGAAACAG